Long non-coding RNA from Setaria italica (foxtail millet), 965 nucleotides. RefSeq lists it as uncharacterized. The record is from RefSeq and is a predicted model, not a curated record. The transcript is spliced from 2 exons. NCBI's taxonomy places the organism in Eukaryota, Viridiplantae, Streptophyta, Magnoliopsida, Poales, Poaceae.
UAUAAUUUAAUUUCCACACAACUGCAGCAUGCACUUUUUUCCAUCCUGCUCAACUAAAUAUUGAAAAUUGUGUCAUGGUCAAGCUUACUCCAUUAGAUGACACAUAAUUUUUUUGAGAUUAAUUAGAUAACACAUGUCCGUAGCUAUAUUUCUAAAUCAACUGAAGCCCAACAUUGUUCAGGCCCAACUUGGCCCAUCACCCACCCAUCCAUCCAUCCAUACAGUACACAACCUUAUCUUCUCUGUAUCGUUCAACACUUCAACCUUAACCACACGUAGGCAGCACCAACGAACACUGACAUCAGCACAACAAUGGCGCUCGCGCUCGUGCUCCUGCCUCUGCAUGCCUUGGGAUGUCGGGUUCCGAAGCGUCGCCGGAGGAGCAGCCUGCUCCGCUCGCCGCGGCGCUCGCGGCACCGGCUGAGAGCUCCCCAACCCCGUCCCUGACGAGGAAGGAGUAGCUGCUGCCCGUGAGGGAGGAGAUCUCGGUGAGGAUCCACCAAUCCCCCGUUCUUGCUGGCGGACGCAGUAGGAGUGGUGAACGGACGAUGGACGUGUGUGGCGCCUGCGUAUGGUCGCACGGAGGGAGAGGCGGCAGAACGGGCGGUAGAGGAGCGGUGUGGAUGGGAUGGGUGGAGCGUAGCAGACGGGAUGGGAGGGGGCUGCGGCGCGUGGGCGGGUGCGGAGCGGAUAGGAGGGCGUGGCAGCGUGCUCGGCUCAAGGUGCGGUGCGAGCCGACCCCUCCUCCGCUCCGGCGACGAGCUCCUCUACUCCGGCAUCGGCCCACCUCCACCGCUCCGGAGCGAGACGCGAACACCUGGAGAUGGGACCGGGUGGAGGAACGCGUGCGCUCGGAGGCGCGAACCGCGAAGGGAGAGAGGGAGGGAGUGGGGCCCACCUGUCGGCGCCGGGGUGAUUGGUUCUGCUAAGACUAAAUAUUAGUUAAUUAUAAAACUAAUUAUACA